RNAcentral lists this small nucleolar RNA (89 nucleotides) under Trifolium pratense (red clover). RNAcentral describes it as "snoRNA snoR38". It matches the Rfam family "Small nucleolar RNA R38". From Rfam's summary of the family: snoR38 is a C/D box small nucleolar RNA conserved across yeast, human, Arabidopsis and rice. The record is from Rfam by way of RNAcentral. Lineage: Eukaryota; Viridiplantae; Streptophyta; Magnoliopsida; Fabales; Fabaceae.
UGUUGUGUAUGAUGAGAAAUACCAAUUUUACAGUUAUCCCUGUCUGAUACUGCAGUGCAGGUGCUGAAAAUUUGUAAUCUGACACAUUG